UCGUAACAAGGUUUCCGUAGGUGAACCUGCGGAAGGAUCAUUACCGAGUGCGGGUCCGCGUGGCCCAACCUCCCACCCGUGCCUAUUGUACCCUGUUGCUUCGGCGGGCCCGCCAGCCUUCGGGCUGGCCGCCGGGGGGCGUCUCGCCCCCGGGCCCGUGCCCGCCGGAGACCCCAACAUGAACCCUGUUCUGAAAGCUUGGUGUCUGAGUGUGAUUGUUUGCAAUCAGUUAAAACUUUCAACAAUGGAUCUCUUGGUUCCGGCAUCGAUGAAGAACGCAGCGAAAUGCGAUAACUAAUGUGAAUUGCAGAAUUCAGUGAAUCAUCGAGUCUUUGAACGCACAUUGCGCCCCCUGGUAUUCCGGGGGGCAUGCCUGUCCGAGCGUCAUUGCUGCCCUCAAGCCCGGCUUGUGUGUUGGGCCCUCGUCCCCCGGCUCCGGGGGACGGGCCCGAAAGGCAGCGGCGGCACCGCGUCCGGUCCUCGAGCGUAUGGGGCUUUGUCUUCCGCUCUGUAGGCCCGGCCGGCGCCCGCCGACGCACCUCAACUAUUUUUUUCCAGGUUGACCUCGGAUCAGGUAGGGAUACCCGCUGAACUUAAGCAUAUCAAUAA
RNAcentral lists this unclassified non-coding RNA (609 nucleotides) under Aspergillus neoindicus. RNAcentral's name for it is "sequence contains 18S rRNA gene, ITS1, 5.8S rRNA gene, ITS2, 28S rRNA gene". The stretch from base 234 to 387 matches the Rfam family "5.8S ribosomal RNA". The record is from RNAcentral. Lineage: Eukaryota; Fungi; Ascomycota; Eurotiomycetes; Eurotiales; Aspergillaceae.